GACGAACGCUGGCGGCGUGCCUAACACAUGCAAGUCGAACGGAACUGUUUUGAAAGAUUUCUUCGGAAUGAAUUUGAUUUAGUUUAGUGGCGGACGGGUGAGUAACGCGUGAGUAACCUGCCUUCAAGAGGGGAAUAACAUUCUGAAAAGAAUGCUAAUACCGCAUGACAUAUCGGAACCACAUGGUUUUGAUAUCAAUGAUUUUAUCGCUUGAAGAUGGACUCGCGUCCGAUUAGUUAGUUGGUGAGGUAACGGCUCACCAAGACCGCGAUCGGUAGCCGGACUGAGAGGUUGACCGGCCACAUUGGGACUGAGACACGGCCCAGACUCCUACGGGAGGCAGCAGUGGGGGAUAUUGCGCAAUGGGGGCAACCCUGACGCAGCAACGCCGCGUGAAGGAUGAAGGUUUUCGGAUUGUAAACUUCUUUUAUUAAGGACGAAAAAUGACGGUACUUAAUGAAUAAGCUCCGGCUAACUACGUG
RNAcentral lists this ribosomal RNA (482 nucleotides) under uncultured bacterium. Its description in RNAcentral is "partial 16S ribosomal RNA". It matches the Rfam family "Bacterial small subunit ribosomal RNA", at positions 28 to 507 of the family's 1533-position model. The record is from RNAcentral.